ACGGACCAAGGAGUUUAUCGUGUACGCAAGUCAUUGGGUGAAUAAAACCCAUAGGCGAAAUGAAAGUAAAAAGUAGAAUAUUUUAGAUUUCUUUAAUAUUCUCUUUAAGGGAAGAUAGUAAUCUCUUUUCAUUAAUAAUAAUUAUAGUGUGUGUAUAUUUAUAUAUGCGCCUAUAAUUAUUGUUUAUGAUAUUGUUUUAAGAUUGCUCGCAUUCCCGGGGCGCUUGUGUCACGCUUUGCGUGUUAAUGCGCACCUAGAGCGUACACGCUGAUACCCGAAAGAUGGUGAACUAUGCCUGGCCAGGACGAAGCCAGGGGAAACCCUGGUGGAGGUCCGCAGCGAUUCUGACGUGCAAAUCGAUCGUCGGAGCUGGGUAUAGGGGCGAAAGACCAAUCGAACCAUCUAGUAGCUGGUUCCCUCUGAAGUUUCCCUCAGGAUAGCUUGCGCUCGGUUGAGAAGAGUCUCAUCCGGUAGAGCGAAUGAUUAGAGGCAUUGGGGUCGAAACGACCUCAACCUAUUCUCAAACUCCAAAUAGAUGAGACACCCGGCUUUCUUAAAAGUGAAGCCGUGGGAUUUUGAUCAGAGUGCCAAGUGGGCCAAUUUUGGUAAGCAGAA
Molecule: ribosomal RNA, 615 nt
Filed under: Eupheno pallens
Lineage: Eukaryota; Metazoa; Arthropoda; Insecta; Hemiptera; Reduviidae
Description: eukaryotic LSU rRNA
Rfam family: Eukaryotic large subunit ribosomal RNA
Source: RNAcentral